GGAGUCCGAUUUAGCCAUGCUAGUUGUACGAGUUCAGACUCGUAGCAGAUAGCUCAGUAACACGUGGCCAAACUACCCUACAGAGCACGAUAACCUCGGGAAACUGAGGCUAAUAGUGCAUACGGCUCGAGACCUGGAAUGGUUCGAGCUCGAAACGCUCCGGCGCUGUAGGAUGUGGCUGCGGCCGAUUAGGUAGACGGUGGGGUAACGGCCCACCGUGCCAGUAAUCGGUACGGGUUGUGAGAGCAAGAGCCCGGAGACGGUAUCUGAGACAAGAUACCGGGCCCUACGGGGCGCAGCAGGCGCGAAACCUUUACACUGCACGACAGUGCGAUAAGGGGACUCCGAGUGCGAGGGCAUAUAGUCCUCGCUUUUCACCACCGUAAGGUGGUGGUGGAAUAAGUGCUGGGCAAGACCGGUGCCAGCCGCCGCGGUAAUACCGGCAGCACGAGUGAUGACCGCUAUUAUUGGGCCUAAAGCGUCCGUAGCUGGCCAGUCAAGUCCAUCGGGAAAUCUCUCCGCCCAACGGGGAGGCGUCCGGUGGAAACUGUCUGGCUUGGGACCGGAAGACCUGAGGGGUACGUCCGGGGUAGGAGUGAAAUCCCGUAAUCCUGGACGGACCACCGGUGGCGAAAGCGCCUCAGAGGACGGAUCCGACGGUGAGGGACGAAAGCUCGGGUCACGAACCGGAUUAGAUACCCGGGUAGUCCGAGCUGUAAACGAUGUCUGCUAGGUGUGCCACAGGCUACGAGCCUGUGGUGUGCCGUAGGGAAGCCGUGAAGCAGACCGCCUGGGAAGUACGUCCGCAAGGAUGAAACUUAAAGGAAUUGGCGGGGGAGCAC
RNAcentral lists this ribosomal RNA (842 nucleotides) under uncultured archaeon. RNAcentral describes it as "bacterial SSU rRNA". It matches the Rfam family "Archaeal small subunit ribosomal RNA", at positions 35 to 879 of the family's 1478-position model. The record is from RNAcentral.